This 253-nucleotide ribosomal RNA is filed under the name uncultured bacterium. Its description in RNAcentral is "partial 16S ribosomal RNA". It matches the Rfam family "Bacterial small subunit ribosomal RNA", at positions 524 to 776 of the family's 1533-position model. The record is from RNAcentral.
UACGAAGGGGGCUAGCGUUGCUCGGAAUUACUGGGCGUAAGGCGCAUGUAGGCGGCAGCGCAAGUCGGGCGUGAAAUCCCACGGCUCAACCGUGGAAGUGCACUCGAAACUGCGCAGCUAGAGUCCUGGAGAGGAAGGUGGAAUGCUUGGUGUAGAGGUGAAAUUCGUAGAUAUCAAGCGGAACACCGGUGGCGAAGGCGGCCUUCUGGACAGUGACUGACGCUGAGAUGCGAAAGCGUGGGGAGCAAACAGG